This is a long non-coding RNA of Populus trichocarpa (black cottonwood), 1469 nucleotides long. RefSeq lists it as uncharacterized. Lineage: Eukaryota; Viridiplantae; Streptophyta; Magnoliopsida; Malpighiales; Salicaceae. The transcript has 7 exons. The record is from RefSeq and is a predicted model, not a curated record.
AACUCUAGUUCACAAUGAACAGGGACUGAGAAUUGUUCUUGUCAGAAUCUUAUAUCAUGCCCAUGUCUAUUUUAAUUUAUUCAAAAUCUUGGACCUUUGUUUUUUACCUUCAGACAGACUACUUUUCUCCUUUUAAAAUCAAAUUGCCAAUACUGCUCUUCUUGGGAUAAAAGAGAGCCUUACAGUCUCGACUGAAGGGAAGUUUUACAGGGCCAAGGGUAUUUUGGUCUGGUUCUAGCCUUCGAACUGAAGCUACUGGCUAUGGGCUGGUUUUCUUUGUGCAGCUUAUGCUUGCUGGCAUGAAUAAAGAAAUCAAAGGACUAAGGUUCCUCCCUUGACUCCAAAAACUUGUUGCUGUUGAUGACAGUAUCCCUCAAGCCAAUGGCAUAGUAUAGGCCUAUAGAAAUAUAUUCUUACAUUCUCCAUAAUGCACGAUGUGCUGUAAGUGGUUCUGGAAAGAUUACAAUGCUUGUUCUAGAGAAGCUUAUUGGUUAUGGCUCUCUUCCAAUCACAGUAUCAGGUACAUUUAGUUGUCCGUGAAUAUUUUAUACAAUCAAAUUGAGUGAUGGGCUCCAGCAUGUCAAAUUAGUUCCCAAGUCAAAAUACCUCAAAAAGAACAAGCUAUGUUGAUCAUCACAACUCACAAUAUCUAUAUGACCUUUGAGUUUUAGUUGAUAAGGAAUGUAAGGUUCUUCUAUUUCAACUGCAUCUCUCAAAAGUGUUUCUUCCAUCUUAUGUAGAAGACUUGCAAGAGGAGUGAUGCCUUCAAGGUUUUGCAGGUCUUUUAUCUUGCAUCUCGUCAACAAGCAUAAAAAUACAGAAAAAGCUUUCUAUUUCUUUUCACAAUUUUGUUUAUUUGGUUCUUCCACUUUCAGUAUUUCUGAUAUUUAGGGGUUAAUGGCCAUAGUGCAGUUGAGGUUUUGCUGCGGAGGAUUAUUUGAGUAGCAACUCUUGUAACAUGUAUCAAAAUAUUGGACAGAUUCAAAGGGAUAUUUGGUGGAUGAGGAUGGAUUUGAUUACAUGAAAAUAUCUUUUCUGAGAGAUAUCAAAGCGCAGAAGAGAAGUUUGCGAGACUACUCAAAGACUUGUGCUCGAUCAAAGUACUAUGAUGAAGCAAAACCUUGGAGUGUAAGGGGUGAUGUUGCAUUUCCUUGUGGUUACCAGAAUGAAAUCGAUCAAUCUGAUGCCAUUAAUCUGGUUAAUUCAGGCUGUCGUAUCCUUGUACAAGGGCUUGAUGUAGGACUACUUUGGAUUUUUGUCCCACAAAGGGUUGUGGUGAGCCGGGGUUUGUAAUUUGCAGAAUUAGGGUUGACUAGUUUCGUCAAGCGUAGCCGUGGCCAAAUAUGGUCUCAAAGCUGUGUUGCACUUGCAAUCUAUGUUAGAAAGUUGAAGGUGGAUUGAAAAGACUGGUUGUUGCUGGGGAGCUUGAAUUAAACCAUGAGUGCAAUUUGCUGAACUGGUCACCUGAG